UGCAGUCGAGCGAUGGAUUGAGAGCUUGCUCUUAUGAAGUUAGCGGCGGACGGGUGAGUAACACGUGGGUAACCUGCCCAUAAGACUGGGAUAACUCCGGGAAACCGGGGCUAAUACCGGAUAACAUUUUGAACUGCAUGGUUCGAAAUUGAAAGGCGGCUUCGGCUGUCACUUAUGGAUGGACCCGCGUCGCAUUAGCUAGUUGGUGAGGUAACGGCUCACCAAGGCAACGAUGCGUAGCCGACCUGAGAGGGUGAUCGGCCACACUGGGACUGAGACACGGCCCAGACUCCUACGGGAGGCAGCAGUAGGGAAUCUUCCGCAAUGGACGAAAGUCUGACGGAGCAACGCCGCGUGAGUGAUGAAGGCUUUCGGGUCGUAAAACUCUGUUGUUAGGGAAGAACAAGUGCUAGUUGAAUAAGCUGGCACCUUGACGGUACCUAACCAGAAAGCCACGGCUAACUACGUGCCAGCAGCCGCGGUAAUACGUAGGUGGCAAGCGUUAUCCGGAAUUAUUGGGCGUAAAGCGCGCGCAGGUGGUUUCUUAAGUCUGAUGUGAAAGCCCACGGCUCAACCGUGGAGGGUCAUUGGAAACUGGGAGACUUGAGUGCAGAAGAGGAAAGUGGAAUUCCAUGUGUAGCGGUGAAAUGCGUAGAGAUAUGGAGGAACACCAGUGGCGAAGGCGACUUUCUGGUCUGUAACUGACACUGAGGCGCGA
RNAcentral lists this ribosomal RNA (718 nucleotides) under Bacillus sp. (in: firmicutes). Its description in RNAcentral is "bacterial SSU rRNA". It matches the Rfam family "Bacterial small subunit ribosomal RNA", at positions 56 to 756 of the family's 1533-position model. The record is from RNAcentral. Lineage: Bacteria; Bacillati; Bacillota; Bacilli; Caryophanales; Bacillaceae.